AUCCAGAUGACGAGUCCCAAAUAGGCCGAAAUGCGUAUCAUGGAU
Trichobilharzia regenti is the source of this 45-nucleotide non-coding RNA. NCBI's taxonomy places the organism in Eukaryota, Metazoa, Platyhelminthes, Trematoda, Strigeidida, Schistosomatidae. The record is from Rfam.